GGAAGUGGUGGUGGUGGGGUCCUGAGACUAGGCCAGUUGAGAACCACUGGUCUUGACUAAAGGAUCACUGUAAAUAAGACGUGCUUACACACUCCUGUCUAUUCUGCUGAGAUGUACAAUCCUGGGCAUGCAUGCACACACCACAGACAUAGGUGAGAUCGACAACAAAUGCAGAAUUCACAUAGAACAAAAUGGAAAUGUGAACAUCCAUACUGCCCAGAUCAUCUGCUGAAGAAGAUCAUGUGACAGAAUUCAAAGCUCAAGAGCAGCGACCAAACGAUGGAGCUUCAAGCUAAGAGUUAAUAUUCUUUCACUUUUGUUUUGAGUGUAUUAUUUAAAAAGUUCUGCGCUUCAUUUUUCAAAACAAAGACAUUGGGCUCAUAUGUUCGUAUACCCCAAAAAGUGUAGGUGUUCUGUUCUGUAAUUUCUCUUCUCUUCCAGUGGAUUGAAAUGCAAAAAAUCAUCUUCAACCUUUUCAGGACAGUUUUUUUGCCUUAUUAA
Molecule: long non-coding RNA, 501 nt
Organism: Notolabrus celidotus (New Zealand spotty)
Lineage: Eukaryota; Metazoa; Chordata; Actinopteri; Labriformes; Labridae
Exons: 3
Source: RefSeq, a predicted model, not a curated record